AAGGUCCAAAUAAACUCCCAAUUAAAUUGUAAGAUCAUCUCCAAAAUCAAAUAUGGUCAAAAUGAUAUGCACGUGACAUGAAAAAGGUGAUAACAUCCAAAUUAGAAAAAUUGGGAUGUUACAACAAUUCUUGCUGAGCAUGGUGCAACCCUAGGCAAGAUGGCGGAAGAAGAAGCUGUGGUGCGGACAUUCGUUGCGACUGCGCUAGUGGAGGAAGCUAUAUGUUCCUCUCUCAUUGCGAUCUAUGGGUGCACCGCUUCAACCUCUAUCGUCCAGGGAU
This 280-nucleotide long non-coding RNA is filed under the name Brachypodium distachyon (stiff brome). RNAcentral describes it as "long non-coding RNA (BDIS_LNC000249)". The record is from RNAcentral. Lineage: Eukaryota; Viridiplantae; Streptophyta; Magnoliopsida; Poales; Poaceae.